RNAcentral lists this transfer RNA (62 nucleotides) under Aeromonas veronii. RNAcentral's name for it is "tRNA-Arg". Lineage: Bacteria; Pseudomonadati; Pseudomonadota; Gammaproteobacteria; Aeromonadales; Aeromonadaceae. The record is from RNAcentral.
CCCUUAGCUCAGUUGGAUAGAGCAACGGCCUUCUAAGCCGUGGGUCGCAGGUUCUUAUAAGG